This 460-nucleotide ribosomal RNA is filed under the name uncultured bacterium. RNAcentral's name for it is "partial 16S ribosomal RNA". It matches the Rfam family "Bacterial small subunit ribosomal RNA", at positions 338 to 795 of the family's 1533-position model. The record is from RNAcentral.
CCUACGGGUGGCAGCAGUGAGGAAUAUUGGUCAAUGGACGAGAGUCUGAACCAGCCAAGUCGCGUGAAGGAUGACUGCCCUAUGGGUUUUACACUUCUUUUAUAUGGGAAUAAAACGUUCCACGUGUGGGAUUUUGUAUGUACCAUAUGAAUAAGGAUCGGCUAAUUCCGUGCCAGCAGCCGCGGUAAUACGGAGGGUCCGAGCGUUAUCCGGAUUUAGUGGGUGUAAAGGGAGCGUAGGGGGAUUCUUAAGUCAGUUGUGAAAGUUUGCGGCUCAACCGUAGAAGUGCAGUUGAAACUGGCAGUCUUGAGUACGGGAGAGGUAGGUGGAAUUCGUGGUGUAGCGGUGAAAUGCUUAGAUAUCACGAAGAACUCCGAUUGCGAAGGCAGUUCACUGGACUACAACUGACGCUGAGGCUCGAAAGUGUGGGUAUCAAACAGGAUUAGAUACCCCUGUAGUC